UUUCCGUAGGUGAACCUGCGGAAGGAUCAUUACCGGGAUAUGUCGAAAGACAAUCUCCAUGACCCUUUUUUGUUUACAACAAAAAUGUCUUCUUCGGCAAGACGUUCAAUUUUUGACUCAAGAAUUGACCAUUGAUUCUUUUUUGUAACUAAAAGAGAAUGAAUGUGUUUUGCUUGCCGAAGGUUUUUUUUAUAAAAACUCUUUUUUAUUAAUAAAGUCUGAGUAAUAAAACAAAAUAAAUUAAAACUUUCAACAACGGAUCUCUUGGUUCUGGCAUCGAUGAAGAACGCAGC
Molecule: unclassified non-coding RNA, 293 nt
Filed under: uncultured fungus
Lineage: Eukaryota; Fungi
Description: sequence contains ITS1, 5.8S rRNA gene
Rfam family: 5.8S ribosomal RNA (bases 245-293)
Source: RNAcentral